RNAcentral lists this ribosomal RNA (303 nucleotides) under uncultured eukaryote. Its description in RNAcentral is "partial 18S ribosomal RNA". It matches the Rfam family "Eukaryotic small subunit ribosomal RNA", at positions 1470 to 1796 of the family's 1831-position model. The record is from RNAcentral.
CCCUUAGAUGUUCUGGGCCGCACGCGCGCUACACUGACAGGGCCAGCGAGUACAUCACCUUGGCCGAGAGGUCUGGGUAAUCUUGUUAAACCCUGUCGUGCUGGGGAUAGAGCAUUGCAAUUAUUGAUCUUCAACGAGGAAUGCCUAGUAGGCACAAGUCAUCAGCUUGUGCCGAAUACGUCCCUGCCGUUUGUACACACCGCCCGUCGUUUCUUCCGACUGAUACUCAUUGUGAGUUGCAAGGACCCUUUAUUGGGAAAUUGCUGCAAAUGCUUUGUAUUGGAGGAAGAAAAAGUCGUAACA